ACGUAGGUGGCAAGCGUUGUCCGGAUUUAUUGGGCGUAAAGCGAGCGCAGGCGGUUUCUUAAGUCUGAUGUGAAAGCCCCCGGCUCAACCGGGGAGGGUCAUUGGAAACUGGGAGACUUGAGUGCAGAAGAGGAGAGUGGAAUUCCAUGUGUAGCGGUGAAAUGCGUAGAUAUAUGGAGGAACACCAGUGGCGAAGGCGGCUCUCUGGUCUGUAACUGACGCUGAGGCUCGAAAGCGUGGGGAGCGAACAG
Molecule: ribosomal RNA, 251 nt
Filed under: uncultured bacterium
Lineage: Bacteria
Description: partial 16S ribosomal RNA
Rfam family: Bacterial small subunit ribosomal RNA
Source: RNAcentral